RNAcentral lists this unclassified non-coding RNA (1515 nucleotides) under Hevea brasiliensis (rubber tree). Lineage: Eukaryota; Viridiplantae; Streptophyta; Magnoliopsida; Malpighiales; Euphorbiaceae. The record is from RNAcentral.
AAGAAAAGCAACAGUCAAGAGGAAAAGAGAGAACUCCUCUUUACUGCUUAUUGACAGAAUUAUGGAGACAUUCUGUUCAAUGACAAUUUCCCAAAUUUGAUCAGUCCGAGUGUAUAUACAUAUAUAGAUAUAGUUUUCAUGGUGCAGUGACUCUACAUACUUCCCUUCAAGAAUUAAAUGAAACAUGCUAUACAGAUACUCAAGUGACACCUGAUUUUCUAUCUACACGAGGUACACCAUGAUUCCUUUGACACAAUGGGAGGCAUGCUUUACCAUGAGACUUUGCAUUUCAAUUCUCUAAUAUGUCGAGCAUGUUUGCUUGGCUAAACUGCUUGUAAUGUAUGUGCAUACUGUUGCGUGAACAAAUAAACUAAAUUAAGAGUUGAACUAUUCUGGCAUCCAAGUUAUAGAUAAAUAAUUAUGGAAAGAAAAAGGAAUAAAUUAUCCACUUAGCAUAUUUGAGAAUUAAGUUGGAACGAUCUUACAUUUUUCACAUGGUGUAAGAAUCAAGUCGGACCUUAGAGUUCCUUGUUGUCUUGCAUUUGCUCAUGUGAUUCUAAAGGGAUGAGAGAUAAGAUCCGCGACCUACAGAAAAGCAAUCAAUCAAGAUAUGCAACUAGACUAGGCUAACAUGAUAAAUAUUGAAAGUGAAGUGAUGUCAGUUUCUCUGCUGUAAGAACAGAACAAAAACAGAAAGUCCUUGCAUCAUUGCAAAUCGAUGCCAGAGUAUUCCUCAAGUUCCCUGUUAUAUCUUGGAAGAAGUAAUUGAGGUGAACAAUGUUCUACAAUAUUUCUCAAGUUGAAGUGGCAAUGAAAACUUCAUUGCAGAUCCUAAUGAAAGUAUUUGAUCACAUCUCUAGACAAGGUAACAACUGCUGGGACUGCGCUGUCUUCGAUAGACAAAAGUUACAUUUCAGCCUUAAAUGAUGAGCUAAACCAAAAAUUUGGCCCCAGUUAUUUUAAAAAUUUGGCCCUUAUAUUAUCACCUUGUAGUCAUCGAUAAGGCCAAAAUAGUCGCAUAAUCCAACUCCGAAUAGCUAAUGAAGCAAAUAGUUACAGAGCUUAAGAAGAGAGAGAGGAGAAGGGAAGAAGUGAGACACUUGAGCAACUCUAUAUUUUCUCAGUCUAUUCAAAGGUCGGUAUAAUGUAAAUUCAAAGUUUUGGAGAAUCCCGCUAAGCUGAAUGAGAAUGCUGCUCAAACCAAGGUAAGAUCAGAGACAGCUAAUCAACCUCAUCAUUAAGCAAUUAUUAAAAGUUCGUAAGCGUGAAUAUGAAAGUUCAGAGUUGUAAGAUAAUUCAAAAGGCCUUUUUCAUUAGUUUAUUGCAUAAUAUAUGUGUGCUUGAAUGCUAUUUUCUUUUCUACAAAGAGAUGCUGGGAUGUGGAUAGCUUACGAUAAUGUAUCUGCUGCAUAAAAUAUUGGAAGCCUUCCCAACCCUGCACCUUUCCAUUUUCUUCUUUGAGAGGAGACGAGUUGCUCGGCUCCUGAGCUUGUUGCAGUCAAAACAAACAGUGGG